This 371-nucleotide ribosomal RNA is filed under the name uncultured bacterium. RNAcentral's name for it is "bacterial SSU rRNA". It matches the Rfam family "Bacterial small subunit ribosomal RNA", at positions 28 to 402 of the family's 1533-position model. The record is from RNAcentral.
GACGAACGCUGGCGGCGUGCUUAACACAUGCAAGUCGAACGGAAAGGCCCUGCUUGCAGGGUACUCGAGUGGCGAACGGGUGAGUAACACGUGGGUGAUCUGCCCUGCACUUCGGGAUAAGCCUGGGAAACUGGGUCUAAUACCGGAUAGGAGCCAUUUUAGUGUGAUGGUUGGAAAGUUUUUUCGGUGUAGGAUGAGCUCGCGGCCUAUCAGCUUGUUGGUGGGGUAAUGGCCUACCAAGGCGGCGACGGGUAGCCGGCCUGAGAGGGUGGACGGCCACAUUGGGACUGAGAUACGGCCCAGACUCCUACGGGAGGCAGCAGUGGGGAAUAUUGCACAAUGGGCGCAAGCCUGAUGCAGCGACGCCGCGU